Molecule: ribosomal RNA, 396 nt
Filed under: uncultured bacterium
Lineage: Bacteria
Description: partial 16S ribosomal RNA
Rfam family: Bacterial small subunit ribosomal RNA
Source: RNAcentral
AUACGUAGGGAGCGAGCGUUGUCCGGAAUUACUGGGUGUAAAGGGUGCGUAGGCGGGACUGCAAGUCAGAUGUGAAAUGCCGGGGCUCAACCCCGGAGCUGCAUUUGAAACUGUGGUUCUUGAGUGAGGUAGAGGGAAGCGGAAUUCCUAGUGUAGCGGUGAAAUGCGUAGAUAUUAGGAGGAACAUCGGUGGCGAAGGCGGCUUACUGGGCCUUUACUGACGCUGAGGCACGAAAGCGUGGGGAGCAAACAGGAUUAGAUACCCUGGUAGUCCACGCUGUAAACGAUGAUGACUAGGUGUGGGGGGACUGAACCCUUCCGUGCCGCAGUUAACACAAUAAGUCAUCCACCUGGGGAGUACGGCCGCAAGGUUGAAACUCAAAUGAAUUGGCGGGG